Xiphophorus hellerii (green swordtail) is the source of this 729-nucleotide long non-coding RNA. RefSeq lists it as uncharacterized. Lineage: Eukaryota; Metazoa; Chordata; Actinopteri; Cyprinodontiformes; Poeciliidae. The transcript has 2 exons. The record is from RefSeq and is a predicted model, not a curated record.
AUGGAAUAGUAUUAAAAUGACUCACUUAAAGCAGGUCUCUGUUGGAUUCCGGGGUUUUUGGGGGUUUUUCGUGUCUGGGUCCUUUUUCGGCUAGUCACUAGCCUUCCACCAGAUGGUGCCACAGACUGCUUUUCUUGGCGGGGCGUGCCGACCUCCAACACACCUGUUCGGCAUCUCCUCAUCAUCUCUGGAGCUCAAGAGGAGCUGACUGCCGGUUCUUCGAUGCCUGAGUGUUUGCCAGCAAUGGUGUCCUCCUCGAGACGCUGAGUUCCUUUGUUAAGGGAUUAUUUCCCCCUGGUUUUCCGGAACCCAUUCCCUCGUGACGCCGUGGAGACUACCCACUGGUUGCCCGAGUCCCCGCACCUUCCCUUGGAAACGCCGUUCGUCAGUCGGAACACUCCUCUGUCUCCAGCCCGCCAGAUCCUGCCUGUCCGCCUUCUGCCGCCAGCUCCUGGACCCAGCUGGUUCUCAGACAAGCCCGGAUCCAUUGAGAAGACCCUUUGGACUAAACGACCUCGAUCCAACAGUUAAACCCUCCCGGACUUUCACCAUCUACUCUGCAAGUAAGAUCAGUCCGUUUCUCAUUCCCUCACUCCCUUUUCCGACGCCCUCGAACUCACCUUCUCUCUGUUGCCUCCAUAGUGUGCCGCAUUUCCCGAGAGCCGUAUUUCCUGGAGCAGACACACCUCUGCUGAUUUUCUGAUUAUUCAAUAAACCAUUUUUACUGAU